This 488-nucleotide long non-coding RNA is filed under the name Mytilus galloprovincialis (Mediterranean mussel). The record is from RNAcentral. Lineage: Eukaryota; Metazoa; Mollusca; Bivalvia; Mytilida; Mytilidae.
CCUUUUUAGCAGUACCGCAUUUACUCAAAAAAACAGAUUUUUUUUCUUCACAUUUUUCGACUGGGGUCACCUCCGAUAAAAAAUUGUGAAAAUUCAGAGAGGAUUGCCAGAACGUUUUAAAGAUGAUUUAUUUGUGGCAUAUAUAUUUGUGCAUCUAACGCACUAUGAAUUGCACGAUACAAGAAAGUAUUAAAUACCGUAUAGGUUACAAUACACCAUUAGAUUUUAUGGGCGCAGCCAUUUUAUGAGCAUAACAUGGUAUUCAGAAUUAAGAGUAUGGCUAAUCCUGAUUGGUCGAUAUGUGCGCCCGUUAUUUUUUAUUAUUAGAGACUUCGUGCACUCUGCUUUAUACAAAAGGCAAAAUAAAAAUUAUUCCGUAGCCCUAAAGGCACUGAGAUGACUUUUCAACGCUAGGACAAGACACGUAUUUUUAAGGGCAAAAUUGAUAGGCAUGGGAGAUAAGUACAAAAUACACUAAGAAAAGCAAC